This 1342-nucleotide ribosomal RNA is filed under the name metagenome. Its description in RNAcentral is "bacterial SSU rRNA". It matches the Rfam family "Bacterial small subunit ribosomal RNA", at positions 162 to 1498 of the family's 1533-position model. The record is from RNAcentral.
GCUAAUACCGCAUAUUCUGUGAGCAGGAAAGCAGGGGAUCGCAAGACCUUGCGCUGAUUGAGCGGCCGAUAUCAGAUUAGCUAGUUGGUGAGGUAAAGGCUCACCAAGGCGACGAUCUGUAGCGGGUCUGAGAGGAUGAUCCGCCACACUGGAACUGAGACACGGUCCAGACUCCUACGGGAGGCAGCAGUGGGGAAUUUUGGACAAUGGGGGCAACCCUGAUCCAGCCAUGCCGCGUGAGUGAAGAAGGCCUUCGGGUUGUAAAGCUCUUUCGGCCGGGAAGAAAUCGUAUGGGUUAAUACCCUGUGCGGAUGACGGUACCGGCAUAAGAAGCACCGGCUAACUACGUGCCAGCAGCCGCGGUAAUACGUAGGGUGCGAGCGUUAAUCGGAAUUACUGGGCGUAAAGCGUGCGCAGGCGGUUUUGUAAGACAGGCGUGAAAUCCCCGGGCUCAACCUGGGAACUGCGCUUGUGACUGCAAGGCUAGAGUACGGCAGAGGGGGGUGGAAUUCCACGUGUAGCAGUGAAAUGCGUAGAGAUGUGGAGGAACACCAAUGGCGAAGGCAGCCCCCUGGGUCGAUACUGACGCUCAUGCACGAAAGCGUGGGUAGCAAACAGGAUUAGAUACCCUGGUAGUCCACGCCCUAAACGAUGUCAACUAGGUGUUGGGUGGGUAAAACCAUUUAGUACCGGAGCUAACGCGUGAAGUUGACCGCCUGGGGAGUACGGCCGCAAGGUUAAAACUCAAAGGAAUUGACGGGGACCCGCACAAGCGGUGGAUGAUGUGGAUUAAUUCGAUGCAACGCGAAAAACCUUACCUACCCUUGACAUGUCCAGGAGCCUGAAGAGAUUUGGGUGUGCCCGAAGGGGAACUGGAACACAGGUGCUGCAUGGCUGUCGUCAGCUCGUGUCGUGAGAUGUUGGGUUAAGUCCCGCAACGAGCGCAACCCUUGUCGUUAAUUGCCAUCAUUUAGUUGGGCACUUUAACGAGACUGCCGGUGACAAACCGGAGGAAGGUGGGGAUGACGUCAAGUCCUCAUGGCCCUUAUGGGUAGGGCUUCACACGUCAUACAAUGGUCGGUACAAAGGGUCGCCAACCCGCGAGGGGGAGCCAAUCCCAGAAAGCCGAUCGUAGUCCGGAUCGUAGGCUGCAACUCGCCUGCGUGAAGUCGGAAUCGCUAGUAAUCGUGGAUCAGCAUGUCACGGUGAAUACGUUCCCGGGUCUUGUACACACCGCCCGUCACACCAUGGGAGCGGGUUCCGCCAGAAGUAGGUGGCCUAACCGCAAGGGGGGCGCUUACCACGGCGGGGUUCGUGACUGGGGUGAAGUCGUAACAAGGUA